CCAAAGUUUAUUCUCCCUGACCUGCUGGGCAACUCUUAUCAGAAACCAGAAGCUCCACCACCUGGUCUUCACAACUCAACAGCUCAGUCAUCUCCAUGAUGGCAAUCGUAGACGGAUCCAACUCCCUCAUAUUCGUAAACGCCAAACGAGACCUUAAACUACAAAAGAUAAAUGAAAACCACAGAAGACUGAAACCCUAACCUGAACCCGUAAUUAAAGACAUAUCCCCCAUGAACUCAUUGCGAAUUCACAAUUUGCAAAUUCAUUAGAUCGAAUUCUCAACUCUUUCAAUUCUAAAAGCUCUCUUUUGGCCCCGCUUAUCGCUCCAAGAAAAUGUCGAAUCUAUACACUACUAUUCUGUUCGGCGACUGCGAUGAAUUUGAGUCUUUUUUGGCAGAAGAAGUUGAGGGUUUCGUGCGGCAACUAGCAAGUCACCAGCCGUCACAUGAUUUGCGCUUUCCGUUGAUGGUUUUGAUGGGCGAUUACGAUGAUGCCUCGACGAUGGAGGAGUUAGCAACUGAUGAAGAUGAUCCACAAACACAGCCUGCGAGUGCCGAGUUCGUCGAAAAGCUGGAGACGGUCAGAAUCCAAGAAUCGGGUUUGGAUUGUUCGAUUUGCUUGGAGCAAUUGUCGAUAGGAUCGGAAGGUAAGAAGUUGCCGUGCUCGCAUCUCUACCAUGGCAAAUGCAUCGACGAGUGGCUGAAGAAAAGCAAGACAUGCCCUCUUUGUCGAGCUCACUGAUCGAUCGCUGGAAAGAUUGAUUGGAUGGUUACUGCACCUGCUGGAUUCCAGGCGAAGCAAACUAUUCAGAUGCCAAGAAUAUCAUUUGGGCAAUUAGCAACAGGGGGAGAAGGACCAUUUUAUUUUCAGUAGAAUUUGAGAACUACGAGGACCUGAUCCUCCAUUAUUUAUUGUAAGGGGGUACGUAGGCAGCUUUCUAGUGCGGUCCAAACAAUGUAAAAUAAAAUUCCCUUGGAAUCACUGUCAGUAUCCUUAAAAAGGGAGAAAUUUUUGUCUUUGCAGCAGAAUUUUCUGGUUGAGCAUAUUGCUUCUAAUUAAGUUACUUUUCACUUCUGAUACUCUGACUUUUGCCGAGCUGUACCCGUAUCGACAUGAUAUUUUAUGGGAUACAACAUGGAAGGCGUAUAUUUGUGCA
Manihot esculenta (cassava) is the source of this 1156-nucleotide long non-coding RNA. RefSeq lists it as uncharacterized. The record is from RefSeq and is a predicted model, not a curated record. The transcript is spliced from 3 exons. Lineage: Eukaryota; Viridiplantae; Streptophyta; Magnoliopsida; Malpighiales; Euphorbiaceae.